Molecule: ribosomal RNA, 24 nt
Filed under: Funneliformis mosseae
Lineage: Eukaryota; Fungi; Glomeromycota; Glomeromycetes; Glomerales; Glomeraceae
Description: partial 28S ribosomal RNA
Source: RNAcentral
GAUCUCAAAUCAGGUAAGAAUACC